GAUGAACGCUGGCGGCGUGCCUAAUACAUGCAAGUCGAGCGAACGGACGAGAAGCUUGCUUCUCUGAUGUUAGCGGCGGACGGGUGAGUAACACGUGGAUAACCUACCUAUAAGACUGGGAUAACUUCGGGAACCGGGGCUAAUACCGGGUAAUAUUUUUAACCGCCUUGUUCAAAAGUUGAAGACGGUCUUUCUGUCACUUAAUAAUGGAUCCGCGCUGCAUUAGCUAGUUGGUAAGGUAACGGCUUACCAAGGCAACGAUGCAUAGCCGACCUGAGAGGGUGAUCGGCCACACUGGAACUGAGACACGGUCCAGACUCCUACGGGAGGCAGCAGUAGGGAAUCUUCCGCAAUGGGCGAAAGCCUGACGGAGCAACGCCGCGUGAGUGAUGAAGGUCUUCGGAUCGUAAAACUCUGUUAUUAGGGAAGAACAUAUGUGUAAGUAACUGUGCACAUCUUGACGGUACCUAAUCAGAAAGCCACGGCUAACUACGUG
Molecule: ribosomal RNA, 496 nt
Filed under: uncultured bacterium
Lineage: Bacteria
Description: partial 16S ribosomal RNA
Rfam family: Bacterial small subunit ribosomal RNA
Source: RNAcentral